RNAcentral lists this transfer RNA (83 nucleotides) under Xenopus laevis (African clawed frog). It matches the Rfam family "tRNA". Rfam says of the family: Transfer RNA (tRNA) molecules are approximately 80 nucleotides in length. Their secondary structure includes four short double-helical elements and three loops (D, anti-codon, and T loops). The record is from Rfam by way of RNAcentral. Lineage: Eukaryota; Metazoa; Chordata; Amphibia; Anura; Pipidae.
AGCAGGAUGGCCAAGUGUUUAAGGUGUUGGACUUAAGUUCCAAUGGAUGUAUAUCCACGUGGGUUUGAACCCCACUUCUGGUA